CACCAAUCAAGCCUGGCUUGGUAUUGGGCCACGGGGGCGACCCGGGCCUCAAAGUCCCCGGCUGGAAAGCUCUGAUCUCAGCGUCGUGGUCAAUCAAUUCGCCGACGAGAGGAGUGGUCCACGCCGUGAAACUCAUCACAGG
This 142-nucleotide unclassified non-coding RNA is filed under the name uncultured Capnodiales. RNAcentral's name for it is "sequence contains ITS2". Lineage: Eukaryota; Fungi; Ascomycota; Dothideomycetes; Capnodiales. The record is from RNAcentral.